GGCGGGAGCUGGGCCUGAGCCCGGGAACGCGCCUGAUCGGGGCGGAGGAGCCGCUGUCCCCACAGCCGCCCCACCCGCGCCGCUGCCUCGCUGGGGCCCGGGCCCCCUUCCUGGUCCGAAACCCCAGAGAGAUUGGUGAUGGUGAUUUCCCAGGAAGACGUGGUGUGCUCCAACUUCUGUGACAGUGAGCAACGGGACCAAUGGAUGUCCGGAUGCUGGCAAUGAGACAUGCUCUGGAGUCAGAAGACAGCAAAAAGAGAAGCAGAAGUCCCGGUGGCAAGAGUCCAAAGCAGGAAGGAAUCACUGUAACCUGUGGAUUGUACUGCAGUAGGAAACUAUCCUAGCAAGGCUCCACUUUGCCCCAGCUUCAAGCUGGAAAGGAGGAGAACAUGAAACGUUGCUUGAAGACAAUGGCCGAGACAGCAGGUCCCACCCUGCACAGCCGCCAACAUCUCUUCCCUCAGCCUUGUCUCUUCUUCUGCAGUUGGGAUCUGCACAUUUAAGCCUGAAAUUGUCCUGUGAAGUGAAGUAUGAUCGGACAGCCUCUUUUCAGCUUUUAUGAAAAUGGAGACAGAGGAAUUGUGGCUCUUGCCAAGGUCACAGGAUUGGAACACAGAGCCAAGCCACCCCAGGACAUGCAAGAGCCUCAGAAGGGAAAAAGCCCAGCAGGAAGGGAGAACAAGUAGCCUCUGUUCUGAGGUUGUAACAGCCAGGGACCAGGAUGGAGGAGGAGGACUCCGUAAUCCUGCCCAUCUGGGACUUGGCAGGGGACCUGGGAAAAUGUACCCCAAUCCAUCCCUCAAGGGCCUUUGCCUUUGGCCCAUUGGCCUAGCAUCUCCUUCUUCACUAUGUCUGUUCUUGUCAGAUCUGUUUGGGUCUGAGGUGCAUGGAACAUUCUGGGUAGGCCUCCAGCAAACGGAAGCUCUUCACCGUGUUUCCAGCCUAGGACCAAGAGCAGCACACUGGCAAAGUUGCCAAAGCAAGGGACUCCAGCCUGCUAGGAGUUAACGACUCCCUCUCCCCAGCUGUCCUCCCCUUGGUGCUCCUCUUCCUCCCUCCUCCUGCUCACAGCAGGCAGGGCCUGGACCCGGGAGCCAUGCUGCUGUGCUGUUGCCAGGGGAGUCCGGAGGCAGAUCUGAGCUAUGCAGGGAAAAGGCCCGGCCUGUCAAAGUGUCUGAGAUGAACCGCCGCCGUCCCUGUGCAGCUGGGCUCAGACGUGUCUCAGCUCUUGUUCUGUGCCUGAGAAUGGCGAAACCCAGUGAGGUUCAAGGGCAAACUCGCUAUUCAUUAGUCAGGGGUUCUUGACGUCCCGUCUCUCCCAGGGAUGGGUUCCCCCCCUUCCUCUUUCUCCCCCUCCUAUGACACAUUCCUGGGUGCCUUUGGUGAGGACUGCACACCCUCCUCCUGCCUAGCCCCCUUUCCAAGGGCCUCUGAAUAAACUCCCCCCAAGGAGACCAGGCAGGGUAGAGACAAUGGCUGCAGGAAAUCAUUCAGGCGGGACAUGCUGGCCUGCCCUCCACCCAGUCCCCCUGUGGGCCCCACUCCCUUCUGAUUCAGGGCACCCUUGGGCCCCUAGCCUAUACAGGCCUGGAUAGGAAGAAGCCACUAGGAACAACCCUGAGGACAUCAUGUUAGUCCAGUGCCAUUCUCCGCUGGCUCUGUGGGUGCCUUUGUGGCCUGCACCAACUGGCAGGCUAAUUUUGUGGUUUCUGUACCAUCACAUGCCUAUUUCAAGACACUCUCAAGCACUGUCAGUUGGGGAGUGUAAAUUCUACAAUAUUUUCUGAAAUGUGGCAAUAUCAAAAUGUAAAAGGCAAAUAUACUUGGUCACAAAAAUGGCACUGUUUACUCUGUGGGCAUAUUUGUAAAAGUUCCCAAAGAAUUACAUACAAGGAUGUUCAUCAGAGCAUUUCUUUUGAAGAGUGUAAAGAAAUGGACAUGAACCUAUGGUCUGUUCAUACUGUGGAAUACCUAUGCAGCUGUAAAAAUCAGUGUGGUAGAUCUCCGUAUAUGAGUUGAUGUGGAAGGUUGGCCAGUUCACAUGAUAAGGUGAAUAGAAUAAGUUACAGAACAGGCUGUGGAGUAUGAUCUUAUUUGUAGAUGUUUAAAAGUGAGUCAUAAGUAUGCUUAUAUACGGAAGUAUGUACUGGAAGGCUACCUCUAGGGAGUGGGCAUGGGGGAAUGCACUCUUCUAUACUGUUCUGUUUUCUUUUCGUGCUCCUAAGAUACUUUUAUUGAAAGAUGUAAAGGGUUGUUCAGUAUAAUAGGCUUAACUUCUAUCAACUAACUUGGCGUGGGUGCUUUAAGAGGGUGGUAGUGAUGUUACUGGAGAAAGUAUCCCACAAUUACUGGUGGCUUCAGCCAUGGGCCAUUUUGGGGCCUAAUAAUCACAUAUCAUCAUGGUUGCUAGUGUUAAUCGAAAACCUACUAAGUGCCAGGCUUACUGUCUCUGGGUCUUGCUUACGUGGGUAUCAUUAUUCCAGUUUCACCAAAUCAAAAGAAGUUAAUUGGUUUGUUGCAGCUCCUCUGCAGGUGAGGGGCAGAGCCAGGAGCUUGGCUAGGGACAGGGGAGGUGGGUGGGGGAUGGUGGCUAGAUCUUGGCUCUCAGUUUCUUUCCAUGCAGACAUUGCCCCUCUGCCCUGAGGACCUGCUUGUUUGGGGGAGGAGGCCUUUGGAGGCACCGGGGUCAUGCCAGGUGUUGGACAUGGUGAACUGGGAAGUGUUCCCAUUUGGCCAUAGCCCAAAAGUAUCACCGUGCUGGGGGGUGGGGAACAGGGCUGUGAAUGGGCCUAUUUGCAUAAGCAGCAUGUGUGGAGAGAAAGACAUCGCAGAGCAGAAGAGGUGUGGGUGCCCAGUAGGGCAAUUGCCACCCCUACUUCAUCCCUGAAAGAGUAAAUGGCCUGGAAAGUGUCUCCAAGAGGUAAUGCUGCACACUACCCUCCCUGGUGGCACUGGGUCAGGUUACACCUGCCUUAGGUCGGUGGCUGCAGCAGCCUGCAGAGCUCUCAGUAGUGCCUCAGUAGCCUGGGAGGGAGUAGGGGCAGGGGGCAGGAAGAGGCAUAAUGGGGCUGUCCAGAGGGGUCUGGGAAACCUGGUCCCUGAGGCCUGGGCACAGCUACAGUCACUUCAGAUUGGCUGUGGGGCCAGUGGACUGGGAAGGAAAAAAGCAUUAAGAGUGACCAAGUGCAGAAGGCUGUCAGGUCCCAGGUCACAUGCCUUAGUGCAGUGACUCCUCAUCAUUUUGUGGUGUGUGGGUGUCAUUGGUACACCCAUUUUGCAGAUGAGGACACUGAGGCCCAGAAAAGUUAAGUUACAUGUCCUAAGUCACACAGCUUGUAAGUGCCAGAACUGAGAUCAAAACCAAGUCUCUUUGACUUUGAAGUCUGUACUUUGACUCCAAAGACAUCCUGUUUCGUUUGGCCACUUAUAGGAGGUCCCUAAAGCUGCAGACUCCCCUUGCCAGUGCCCACAUAUAGAGACAUUAACCCCUGCCCUGCAGGGUCACCUCAAAUAAUCUUUUAGCUGGGCUUCUCCCACAGUUCCACCUAAUGCCAUCCCCUGGGUUUUGCCCAAACCUGGACUGGGCAGCGGGGUGAGAGGAGGGGUUUACAGGGUUACAGAGCCUCAUACAGAUUGGAGCCCAUGGCUGCUGGUCAUCUGUAUCCCUGCAGGAUUGGCUGUUCCUUGGGGUCCUUGGCAGGAAGAUGAGGAUGCUCCCGAGACCUGCUCCAGUGCUUGCCAGAGGCUGGCCUGGUGGCCUCUGGAAAGACUGAGGCUGGAGAGGCAGAAGUAGGAGAGCAGCAAUGGCACUCAGGUAGCUUGAAUCACCAGGACCCUUCCAAGCCCCACAGGUCCUCCUGAGGGAGUACUAGGGCAUCCUCUGGGAGAGGUCUCUUCCUAUGCUGUGAACCCCCUGCCUUUCUUGCAACCUACAAUGAAUAAAUUUUCUUUGCAAAG
Molecule: long non-coding RNA, 3957 nt
Filed under: Macaca mulatta (Rhesus monkey)
Lineage: Eukaryota; Metazoa; Chordata; Mammalia; Primates; Cercopithecidae
Description: lncRNA (ENSMMUG00000064585.1)
Source: RNAcentral